Long non-coding RNA from Micropterus dolomieu (smallmouth bass), 446 nucleotides. RefSeq lists it as uncharacterized. The transcript is spliced from 2 exons. The record is from RefSeq and is a predicted model, not a curated record. Lineage: Eukaryota; Metazoa; Chordata; Actinopteri; Centrarchiformes; Centrarchidae.
CAGGUUGUUGAAGGGACUUUGUACAUCGUGGAUUUGGCGAUUUCCAGGACCGUCUGCCGUAAACCCCCCAGCGUCCAAAAUCUGUCCAAAUGCAACUUUCAGGCUCCUCGCAAGACGCUUCAGUGUCACGUUGAGGUUUUGGUGGUUCCCGGGCAGAAAAAGACCAGGACUCUGGAGUUCAGCUGUAAAGCCUGAAACCAGCAGCUGCCUCCACCUUCUUCAUCAUCCUCCUCCCUGAUGGAGUUUACUGUGAUGGUUUCGUCGGCUCCCCCUGCAGCUCCUCAUCUGUAACACUAAACCUUUCUCCAGUUUUCCUGCUAAUUUCUGUAUUUACGUGUAGUGACGCAGAGACUGUGCUGUCUGUAAUCUUUGGUUGUGCUGAGUGCAGACAAGGCCACCUGCUGGUCAUUUAUUGUAAAAUCUGCAAUAAUAAAACUGCAAACCAA